This 72-nucleotide transfer RNA is filed under the name Bos taurus (domestic cattle). It matches the Rfam family "tRNA". From Rfam's summary of the family: Transfer RNA (tRNA) molecules are approximately 80 nucleotides in length. The record is from Rfam by way of RNAcentral. Lineage: Eukaryota; Metazoa; Chordata; Mammalia; Artiodactyla; Bovidae. RNAcentral also lists the same sequence under 5 other names.
UGCAUGAUAGUUCAGUUGGUAAAGAAUCUGCCUGCAAUGCAGGAGACCCCGGUUCGAUUCUGGGUCAGGAAA